Molecule: transfer RNA, 92 nt
Filed under: Candidatus Aminicenantota bacterium
Lineage: Bacteria; Candidatus Aminicenantota
Description: tRNA-Ser
Rfam family: tRNA
About the family: Transfer RNA (tRNA) molecules are approximately 80 nucleotides in length. Their secondary structure includes four short double-helical elements and three loops (D, anti-codon, and T loops).
Source: RNAcentral
GGAGAGGUGCUGGAGUGGCUGAACAGGGCUGCCUGCUAAGCAGUUGUCCUGAGUAAUCGGGACCGGGGGUUCGAAUCCCCCCCUCUCCGCCA